GACGAACGCUGGCGGCGUGCUUAACACAUGCAAGUCGAACGGAAAGGCCCUGCUUUUGUGGGGUGCUCGAGUGGCGAACGGGUGUGUAACACGUGAGUAACCUGCCCUUGACUUUGGGAUAACUUCAGGAAACUGGGGCUAAUACCGGAUAGGAGCUCCUGCUGCAUGGUGGGGGUUGGAAAGUUUCGGCGGUUGGGGAUGGACUCGCGGCUUAUCAGCUUGUUGGUGGGGUAGUGGCUUACCAAGGCUUUGACGGGUAGCCGGCCUGAGAGGGUGACCGGCGACAUUGGGACUGAGAUACGGCCCAGACUCCUACGGGAGGCAGCAGUGGGGAAUAUUGCACAAUGGGCGGAAGGCUGAUGCAGCAACGCCGCGUGCGGGAUGACGGCCUUCGGGUUGUAAACCGCUUUCGCCUGUGACGAAGCGUGAGUGACGGUAAUGGGUAAAGAAGCACCGGCUAACUACGUG
This 468-nucleotide ribosomal RNA is filed under the name uncultured bacterium. Its description in RNAcentral is "partial 16S ribosomal RNA". It matches the Rfam family "Bacterial small subunit ribosomal RNA", at positions 28 to 507 of the family's 1533-position model. The record is from RNAcentral.